This 120-nucleotide ribosomal RNA is filed under the name Helianthus annuus (common sunflower). Lineage: Eukaryota; Viridiplantae; Streptophyta; Magnoliopsida; Asterales; Asteraceae. The record is from RNAcentral.
GAUUGCGAUCAUACCAGCACUAAUGCACCGGAUCCCAUCAGAACUCCACAGUUAAGCAUGCUUGGGCGAGAGUAGUACUAGGAUGGGUGACCCCCUGGGAAGUCCUCGUGUUGCAACCCC